CCAGCAGCUGCGGUAAUUCCAGCUCCAAUAGCGUAUAUUUAAGUUGUUGCAGUUAAAAAGCUCGUAGUUGGAUUUCGGGUGGGUUUUAGCGGUCCGCCUAUGGUGAGUACUGCUAUGGCCUUCCUUACUGUCGGGGACCUGCUUCUGGGCUUCAUUGUCCGGGACAGGGAUUCGGCAUGGUUACUUUGAGUAAAUUAGAGUGUUCAAAGCAGGCUUACGCCGUGAAUACUUUAGCAUGGAAUAACAUAAUAGGACUCUGCCCUAUUUUGUUGGCCUGUAGGAGUGGAGUAAUGAUUAAGAGGAACAGUCGGGGGCAUUCGUAUUUCAUUGUCAGAGGUGAAAUUCUUGGAUUUAUGAAAGACGAACUACUGCGAAAGCAUUUGCCAAGGAUGUUUUCAUUAAUCAAG
This 407-nucleotide ribosomal RNA is filed under the name uncultured eukaryote. RNAcentral's name for it is "SSU rRNA". It matches the Rfam family "Eukaryotic small subunit ribosomal RNA", at positions 567 to 981 of the family's 1831-position model. The record is from RNAcentral.